Molecule: small nucleolar RNA, 143 nt
Organism: Trichechus manatus latirostris (Florida manatee)
Lineage: Eukaryota; Metazoa; Chordata; Mammalia; Sirenia; Trichechidae
Product: small nucleolar RNA SNORA5
Exons: 1
Source: RefSeq, a predicted model, not a curated record
UGCAGUCAAGUCAAAUUCAGCACCUACUCCUAUCAUAGUGGGGGGCUGGCUCAGAUGGCUGUCACAGCAAACUCUGCCAUAGUAGCUCAUAGGCCCCUGGUCCUCUGAACUGGGAGCUGAGGAUCAGUUGGUUACAGACACUG